RNAcentral lists this long non-coding RNA (339 nucleotides) under Androctonus crassicauda. Lineage: Eukaryota; Metazoa; Arthropoda; Arachnida; Scorpiones; Buthidae. The record is from RNAcentral.
UUUAAAGGCAAGAUGAACAUAAAUAUAAGCGGCUGCCACUUCUUGUUGUCGAUACAUUGUAGUUUUGACAGGAGAUGGAAAAACAGCGAAUCGAGAUGGAAAAACAGCGAAUCGAGCAACCAUGCCACAUGUCAGUGUUCGCAGCAAUGUUCGAUGUACGGUUCUGGUUGUGUCUCGCCAUUCGCUUCACCGUUCUGUUUGCAUGUGUGUACGAGGCUUUAAAUAGCAAAUAGCACUAUAAAUACUGGUUAAAAAAAUACGUUUUGCUUAUAGGGUUAUUUGUAGUGAAUUGUUUUUCACAUUUUAGAAGUGAUCAUGCAUGUGCAGAUUAAAGAUGAA